Molecule: ribosomal RNA, 362 nt
Filed under: uncultured marine eukaryote
Lineage: Eukaryota
Description: bacterial SSU rRNA
Rfam family: Eukaryotic small subunit ribosomal RNA
Source: RNAcentral
GUUAAAAAGCUCGUAGUUGGAUUUCUGCGGGGGCGGGGCGGCCGGAUGCUUAUAGCAUCUCGAGCUAGCACUUCCCCCGCAUCCUGCCGCGAACCGUGCUACCAUUAGUUUGGUGGCGCUGGGGAUCGGCUCGUUUACUUUGAGAAAAAUAGAGUGUUCAAAGCAGGCCACACGCCUUGAAUAAGUUAGCAUGGAAUAAUUAUAAAGGACUUCGGUUCUAUUUUGUUGGUGUUCGGGACUGAAGUAAUGAUUGAUAGGGACAGUUGGGGCGGUCAGUAUUCCAAAGCGAGAGGUGAAAUUCUUAGACCUCCGGAAGACUAACAGCUGCGAAAGCGUUCCGCAAGGAUGUUCCCUUUGAUCAA